This 28-nucleotide small RNA is filed under the name Bombyx mori (domestic silkworm). RNAcentral's name for it is "ovarian small RNA-26789". The record is from RNAcentral. Lineage: Eukaryota; Metazoa; Arthropoda; Insecta; Lepidoptera; Bombycidae.
UCCAGCACGGACCGCCGAGAUUGGGCCU